GCCCGGCAUAGUAGUGCAUGCCUGUAAUCCCAGUGGCUCAGGAGGCUGAGACAAGAGGACUGUGAGUUCAAAGCUAGCCUCAGCAAAAGCGAGGUGCUGAGCAACUCAGUGAGACCUUGUCUCUA
Molecule: small RNA, 125 nt
Filed under: Marmota monax (woodchuck)
Lineage: Eukaryota; Metazoa; Chordata; Mammalia; Rodentia; Sciuridae
Source: RNAcentral